UAGAUAUAAAUUUUAUGAUUUAAAAAAUUUAUUUUAAAUUUAUUUUACAUAUAAAUUUUAGUAUGAAUUUUAUAUUAUUUUAAUAAUAUUAUAAAAUUAAAGUAGUAAUUAGCAUUAAAAAUUUAAGAAAUUAAGAUUUAGUAAUAUUUAUAAAUUAUAAACAAAUUUUGUGCCAGCAGUUGCGGUUAUACAAAAUAUAAUUUAAAUUUUAUUAGUAAUUAAUUAAUAUGAAAAUUAUUAAAAUUAAAUAUAAAAUUAUUAAGUGAAAUUUUAAUUUAUAAAAAUUUUAAAUUAUAUUAUGUUUUAAAAAAUUUUAUAAAAAACUAGGAUUAGAUACCCUAUUAUUAAAAAUUAAAUUAAAAUACUAAAAUAGUAAUUAAUAAUUUAUUGAAACUUAAAUAAAUUGGCGGUAUUUUAGUUCAUUUAGAGGAAUCUGUUUAAUAAUUGAUAAUCCACGAAUAAACUUACUUAAUAUAUAAUUUUGUAUAUCGUUGUUAAAAAAAUAUUUUUUAAUAAUAAUAAUAUUUUAAAAUUUUAAUGAAAAUUAGUUCAGAUCAAGAUGCAGAUAAUUAUUAAGAAUAUAAUGGAUUACAAUAAUAUAAUAAUUAAAUGAAUAAUAAUUUGUAAAAAUUAUUUGAAGGUGGAUUUAAAUGUAAUUUUAUUAAUUUUAUUAAAAUGAUUUUAAAUUAAAAUAUGUACAUAUUGCCCGUCGCUUUCAUUAAUAAAUUGAAAUAAGUCGUAACAAAGUAGAGGUACUGGAAAGUGUUUCUAGAAAGAA
RNAcentral lists this non-coding RNA (778 nucleotides) under Graphium chironides. The record is from RNAcentral. Lineage: Eukaryota; Metazoa; Arthropoda; Insecta; Lepidoptera; Papilionidae.